GAUGAACGCUGGCGGCGUGCCUAAUACAUGCAAGUCGAGCGAACGGACGAGAAGCUUGCUUCUCUGAUGUUAGCGGCGGACGGGUGAGUAACACGUGGAUAACCUACCUAUAAGACUGGGAUAACUUCGGGAAACCGGAGCUAAUACCGGAUAAUAUUUUGAACCGCAUGGUUCAAAAGUGAAAGACGGUCUUGCUGUCACUUCUAGAUGGAUCCGCGCUGCAUUAGCUAGUUGGUAAGGUAACGGCUUACCAAGGCAACGAUGCAUAGCCGACCUGAGAGGGUGAUCGGCCACACAGGAACUGAGAGACGGUCCAGACUCCUACGGGAGGCAGCAGUAGGGAAUCUUCCGCAAUGGGCGAAAGCCUGACGGAGCAACGCCGCGUGAGUGAUGAAGGUCUGCGGAUCGUAAAACUCUGUUAUUAGGGAAGAACAUAUGUGUAAGUAACUGUGCACAUCUUGACGGUACCUAAGCAGAAAGCCACGGCUAACUACGU
Molecule: ribosomal RNA, 496 nt
Filed under: uncultured bacterium
Lineage: Bacteria
Description: partial 16S ribosomal RNA
Rfam family: Bacterial small subunit ribosomal RNA
Source: RNAcentral